RNAcentral lists this ribosomal RNA (615 nucleotides) under uncultured Bacillota bacterium. RNAcentral describes it as "bacterial SSU rRNA". It matches the Rfam family "Bacterial small subunit ribosomal RNA", at positions 815 to 1420 of the family's 1533-position model. The record is from RNAcentral. Lineage: Bacteria; Bacillati; Bacillota.
ACUAGGUGUGGGAGGUAUCGACCCCUUCCGUGCCGGAGUUAACGCAAUAAGUACCCCGCCUGGGGCAGUACGGCCGCAAGGUUGAAACUCAAAGGAAUUGACGGGGGCCCGCACAAGCAGCGGAGCAUGUGGUUUAAUUCGACGCAACGCGCAGAACCUUACCAGGGCUUGACAUCCCUUGAAAGUUGCAGAGAUGCAAUUUCCAUGGUAGCAAUACCAUGGCAAGGAGACAGGUGGUGCAUGGUUGUCGUCAGCUCGUGUCGUGAGAUGUUGGGUUAAGUCCCGCAACGAGCGCAACCCUUGUGCUGUGUUGCCAGCGAGAGAGACGGGCACUCACAGCAGACUGCCGGGGACAACUCGGAGGAAGGUGGGGAUGACGUCAAAUCAUCAUGCCCCUUAUGUCCUGGGCCACACACGUGCUACAAUGGCCGGAACAGACGGCAGCGAACCCGUGAGGGGGAGCUAAUCCGAGAAAUCCGUUCUCAGUUCAGAUUGCAGGCUGCAACUCGCCUGCAUGAAGACGGAGUUGCUAGUAAUCUCGGAUCAGCACGCCUCGGUGAAUACGUUCCCGGGCCUUGUACACACCGCCCGUCACACCACGAGAGCUGACAACAC